RNAcentral lists this ribosomal RNA (400 nucleotides) under uncultured Cobetia sp. RNAcentral describes it as "bacterial SSU rRNA". It matches the Rfam family "Bacterial small subunit ribosomal RNA", at positions 498 to 897 of the family's 1533-position model. Lineage: Bacteria; Pseudomonadati; Pseudomonadota; Gammaproteobacteria; Oceanospirillales; Halomonadaceae. The record is from RNAcentral.
UAACUCCGUGCCAGCAGCCGCGGUAAUACGGAGGGUGCAAGCGUUAAUCGGAAUUACUGGGCGUAAAGCGCGCUCCUGUGGCUAAGUCAGCCAUGUGUGAAAGCCCCGGGCUCAACCUGGGAACGGCAUCUGUAACUGCUUGGCUAUAGUGCAGGACAGGAAAGUAGAAUUCCCGGUGUAUCGGUGAAAUGCGUAGAGAUCGGGAGGAAUACCAUUGGCGAAGGCGGCCUUCUGGACUGACACUGACACUGAGGUGCGAAAGCGCGGCUAGCACACAGGAUUAGAUACCCUGGUAUUCCACGCCGUAAACGAUGUCAACUAGCCGUUGGGUCCCUUGAGGACUUAGUGGAGCAGCUAACGCAAUAAGUUGACCGCCUGGGGAGUACGUCCGCAAGAUUAA